AGAGGUUUACCCUUUGAUAAGGAACAGGUCAUUCACAGGCAUGAACAUGACAUAGUAUUGUGGUUUCCAAUGAAAAUACUGCAAGCCUGUCUGGAAUGUGCAGGUUGUAUUCCAGCCUUGCCAGAGCGUUUCUGAGACCCAGAGACAGAGCAGUCCCUGAGGGAGCUCCUGCACCUCCCAGCUGAGAACAAUUAUGUCCUUGUUCCUGUCAGGACCUUCUAGAUGUUAUUGGAAUGUGACUACAGAGAAAAAUGUUCUUUUCUAAUGACUCGGUUAUGGACUUCUGAUCAGCCUUGGAUUUCUAGGAAUGCUGCAGCAUGGCUUCAUUUGGGAAUGAGAUGGAAAGGUGGACUCACGGGCAAGGUGGCAGAAGUGGGGAGGUGGUAGAACCUGUGAUGUGCCCUGGAAAUGAUGAUCAUCUUGUGCCAGUGAAGGCGAUUGGCAGCCCAGACCAUGCCCUGCAGCUCCCCAGAAGAGCAGACUCUGCCUACAGCUCUUUCUCAGGGGGCUCAGAGUGUCCCCCCCGCCCGUGCUGUGGGGAAUGUUGCCGUUUGCCCUACAUGGACUCGGAAUACGUCAGGGGGAUUUACAACCUCAGUGCUGCACCCCCUGAGCUCAGAGCCCUGCAGCCACACAGGGCAGCAGGGCUGGGCACCCCUCCCAGCUCUCACAGCCCCAGCCCCAGCCUCCCCCAUCGCUGUGGAACCACUCCCACCCCAGGGACUUCAAACCAGGGCCCUCCACCCCUGGCAGCUCCUCCACCUUCCCCUCCCACGAGACUCCACAGCUCCAGCAUCACCAGGCACCGUGAACACUCAAGAGGGGGACACAGCUCUGGAGGGCACAGUGUGUGUAAGGUGCAGGUGCAGCCAGCCCCUGGUGUGCAGGACAAUGAGAAAAGUCAUGGAAAUGGCCCAGAAGAAUGUCCUGAAUCUGAACAUGAAGCCAAACCGAGGAGCAAAGAAUCUACCUCUGAGGGACACCAAGUCCUGACCAGGAGCAGGGACAGCACAAACGACCCAGAUGACAUCACAUCUAAGAAACUGGAGCUCAUGGGCAGCCUGCGGGCCAGGCUGCAGAGCCUGUGGGAGGAGCGGGAGCUGGUCCUGCAGGAAUCCAGGGAAUGCGCCGAGCGCGGCCGGGCACUGGAGGCCACGGUGCGGGACCUGUGCAAGCCCAACGAGUUCCAGCGCUACCUGAUGUUCAUCGGGGACCUGGAGAAGGUGGUGAACCUCCUCCUGUGCCUGUCCAGCCGCCUGGCCCGGGUCCAGAACGCCAUGAGCAGGAUGGACGGCAGCACAGACGCGGAGGAGAAGCACUCGCUGAGCGAGCGGCACGAGCUCCUGUCUCGGCAGCGGGAGGACGCCAAGGACCUGAAGGACAACCUGGAUCGCAGGGAACAGGUGGUCUCUGGGAUCCUGGCCAAAUACCUGACAGAGCAGCAGCUCCAGGACUAUCGACACUUUGUUCAGGUCAAGACCUCCUUGCUGAUUGAACAGAAGGACCUCGAGGAGCAGAUUAAGUUUUUCAAAGAACAGUUAGAAACUCUUGAGCAAAGUGUGCCCCUCUGACACCCACCCCAGACUCUGGUGGUUGGGACCUGUCCCUGGAAAUCCACAGGAGCCCACAGCACAGGGCUCACUUUGGUGAGCUCCUCCAGCCCUGCUGGUGCCACAGCAUUGGCAGGUGCUCAGAUGCUCUGGGGGUGCUCCAGGCACACCCUGGACGUGUGUUCCACCUGGACAGGCCAGCUGGCAGCGUCUCACAGUGUGCAGCAAACUGCCUUUGGGACGUGACUGACAGGAUGUGUUGCUCCUGUUAACUCGGAGUGUAUUUGCCCUUGCUGCCUGUCCAUCUGUUCCUAGAUGGACACAAUCUCAAUAAAAGAACUGUACAGAAAUUUGCCUCUUGUGGGUGGGCUGAAUGUUUGAAAUGAAAAGCCCUGUGGGUGCUCAGAUGUGAGUGGGGGAUUGCACAGAGCCAUAGGAAAUGUUCUGGACCAUUGCAGGGAAACUCCUGCACUCAUCUCUGCUGUUUAGAUGUGUGACACAGUAAAACCACACUGUGAUGGAAGAAAAGAAUUACUGCCUUUCUUGGCAGUUGCCAUCCCUGAGUCUUUCCUGGCUCUGUGCAAUCCUGGUAGGCUGUUCAGAGGAGGUCAGAAAAAGAGUGGUCCUCACCAGCAUCCAAGAGCCAAUCUGUGAUGGAGCCAGCUUAAAUGAACAGUUUUGGGAAUCAUAAACUCUGAGCUUAUUCCUGCAUAGUCAUUUGCAAAGUCCUUGCUGUGCUUUUGAAGGGCUUGGUUUUCAAGUAGCACGUUCAGGAGGUUGUUUUUGGGUAGUUUUCGAUUGUCAGCAUGCACAAGAAGCCUGAAUGAGGGGGAAGAGCUCUGCUGCAGCGUGGGGCGGGUGGGAGCCCUGGAGGAGGUUACUCUGUUUCAGUGAGACUUUAUAUAAAUCCCUUGGCAAACAUCUUUUAAACAAAUGUGUGUUGAGUCAAAGCAGUGAUGUUGCUGUAUUUAAAAUCUGAGUGUGUUCUGCUUGUUUGUAAGGAUUCAGAGAGAACAAUAUUCCAUCUCAGCUACAUACCUAGACCAUGAAUAAGGCAGCCACUAAUUGAACUCAGCUUUCUUCCACAGCCAGAAUAGAUGUUCAUUGUCCCAGGAUGUUGGGCUUUACCAAGAAAUGUUUUACUAGUGGUGUGUGUCCUGACUACAGUAAGUAUCAUCACCCCUGACAGAAGCUGUUCCUGAGGCAUCUUCUCCUUUGGAAUUGCAUUUCACUGGGCACAAGAACUCCAGGAGCACAGAGACCAAGCUGCCAUGUGGUUAUUGCCUUAAUACCUGGGGGAAAAUGGCCAGACACUGCAGAUCCUGUGAGUAGAUCUGCUCAGUGGUUCUCAGAAGGCCCUAAAGAUAGGCUUUUAAUAUGCAAAUCUGAAAGCUGCCUUUUGAAAAUGCCUUUAAAAUAACAGAAGUGAUGCUAACAGAGUCAGUGGAGAAUUUUAAAACACAUAAGCGAUGUUAAAUGAGCUGUUUGCAUGGUUUGAGAAGCCUGACUCAAAGGUGCAGUUUACUCCUGUUAUUCUUAGUUGAGGGAAAACCACCUGAUUGGAAAUAACUAUUGGGUAACAGAGCUUGCCUUUAAGGGGAAGAAUAGACCUACCCUGUUUAGCUUCUUAUCUUUUCAGGGGUUAGUGUCAUGGGAGGGUGACUGCUGCCCCUUCCACAUCAGCAUUCACGGGUAUGCUGCAAAGAGCAACCUUAGAAAGAACUUGUGCUCUGUCUUCAAACAGUUCACAUCUCUUAACUCCUGUUACUGUUAGAACUGUGAGUCCCAGGCAAAGUGGGAAAUGGACACAGUGAUGGCACCAGAACCUCUUUGUUGGCAAGCAGAGACCCUCUCUCUGAAGCAGUGGCAGAUCUGGAUUGUCAGAACUUACAAACUGAGCUUGUUUGUGGGGCUGGCAGGACUCUGUCCCAGUGAUGGAGGUGCUGAAUGUCCUGUGGCUCAGCCAGUUUUACACAGGCUUUUUCCCAACUUCAGGCCGUGUGGUUUAGAAGUCAAGAUGGCCAGAAAUGCAGAGCAUCUUUGUGUUUACAACACUGUGAUCUCACACUGCUCAGAGAGGUUUUUCUGACCCUUUAUCAUCAGAAGACAAAUUUAAGAGCUGAACUGUAAGUAGCAGUAACUGGUGGUCUUCCUGGGGAAGCAAAUCUUGCAAAUGUAAGG
Empidonax traillii (willow flycatcher) is the source of this 3731-nucleotide RNA transcript. It is a transcript of the gene named protein Shroom1-like, with no coding region annotated. The record is from RefSeq and is a predicted model, not a curated record. NCBI's taxonomy places the organism in Eukaryota, Metazoa, Chordata, Aves, Passeriformes, Tyrannidae. The transcript has 9 exons.